This 464-nucleotide ribosomal RNA is filed under the name uncultured bacterium. RNAcentral describes it as "bacterial SSU rRNA". It matches the Rfam family "Bacterial small subunit ribosomal RNA", at positions 338 to 795 of the family's 1533-position model. The record is from RNAcentral.
CCUACGGGUUGCAGCAGUAGGGAAUCUUCCACAAUGGGUGCAAACCUGAUGGAGCAAUGCCGCGUGAGUGAAGAAGGUCUUCGGAUCGUAAAGCUCUGUUGUUAGAGAAGAACACGUGCUAGGUAACUACUAGCGCCUUGACGGUAUCUAACCAGAAAGUCACGGCUAACUACGUGCCAGCAGCCGCGGUAAUACGUAGGUGACAAGUGUUGUCCGGAUUUAUUGGGCGUAAAGGGAGCGCAGGCGGUCUGUUUAGUCUAAUGUGAAAGCCCACGGCUUAACCGUGGAACGGCAUUGGAAACUGACAGACUUGAAUGUAGAAGAGGAAAAUGGAAUUCCAAGUGUAGCGGUGGAAUGCGUAGAUAUUUGGAGGAACACCAGUGGCGAAGGCGAUUUUCUGGUCUAACAUUGACGCUGAGGCUCGAAAGCGUGGGGAGCGAACAGGAUUAGAUACCCGAGUAGUC